RNAcentral lists this transfer RNA (70 nucleotides) under Trimma flavatrum (wasp pygmy goby). RNAcentral describes it as "tRNA-His". It matches the Rfam family "tRNA". From Rfam's summary of the family: Transfer RNA (tRNA) molecules are approximately 80 nucleotides in length. Their secondary structure includes four short double-helical elements and three loops (D, anti-codon, and T loops). Further hydrogen bonds mediate the characteristic L-shaped molecular structure. tRNAs have two regions of fundamental functional importance: the anti-codon, which is responsible for specific mRNA codon recognition, and the 3' end, to which the tRNAs corresponding amino acid is attached (by aminoacyl-tRNA synthetases). tRNAs cope with the degeneracy of the genetic code in two manners: having more than one tRNA (with a specific anti-codon) for a particular amino acid; and 'wobble' base-pairing, i.e. permitting non-standard base-pairing at the 3rd anti-codon position. Lineage: Eukaryota; Metazoa; Chordata; Actinopteri; Gobiiformes; Gobiidae. The record is from RNAcentral.
GUGCACAUAGUUUUAAAAAAAACAUUAGAUUGUGGUUCUAACAAUAGAGGUUAAAGUCCUCUUGUCCACU